RNAcentral lists this ribosomal RNA (492 nucleotides) under uncultured bacterium. Its description in RNAcentral is "partial 16S ribosomal RNA". It matches the Rfam family "Bacterial small subunit ribosomal RNA", at positions 29 to 507 of the family's 1533-position model. The record is from RNAcentral.
AGUGAACGCUGGCGGUAGGCCUAACACAUGCAAGUCGAACGGCAGCACAGUAAGAGCUUGCUCUUACGGGUGUCAAGUGUCGGACGGUUGAGUAAUGCUCCGAAUUCUUCUUUUUCGUGGGGGCUAACGCAGGAAAACUUCCCCUAAUACCGCAUCCGACCUACGGGUGAAGGCCGGGGUUCUUCGGCCCUUGCGCGAUUGAAUGAGCCGAGGUCGGAUUAGCUAGUUGGCGGGGUAAAGGCCCACCAAGCCACCGAUCCGAAGCUGGUCUGAGAGGAUGAUUAGACACCCUGGAACUGAGAAAGGGCCCAGACUCCUGCGGGAGGAAGCAGUGGGGAAUAUUGGGCAAUGGGGGAAAGCCUGAUCCAGCCAUACCGCGUGAGUGAAGAAGGACUUCGGGUUGGAAAGCCCUGUUGUUGGGAAAGAAAAGAAGCAGGUUAAUACCCCGCUGUACUGACGGUACCCAAAGAAUAAGCACCGGCUAACUUCGUG